This is a ribosomal RNA of Johnsonella ignava ATCC 51276, 118 nucleotides long. NCBI's taxonomy places the organism in Bacteria, Bacillati, Bacillota, Clostridia, Lachnospirales, Lachnospiraceae. The record is from Rfam.
UCCGGUGUCGAUGCGUUUGGGGGAAACACCCGUAAACAUACCGAACACGAAGGUUAAGACUCAGACGGCCUAUGGUACUAUGCUGGAGACGGCAUGGGAGAGCGGGUGGAUGCCGGAU